GUUCGUUGCGAAAAAAUCCACUCGAGUUUCGCUACCCGGCAAUAUGCAAUCGGGUGCCGAAAUGCACCCGUUUUGCAUCAUUUUUCGUUCCGGAACCGAAUGCUCAAAAACACUCCCAAACAUGUUCUAGGGUAUAAUUAGGAAGAUUGCAUGCGUUCGUUGCGAAAAAAUCCACCCGAGUUUCGCUACCCGGCAAUAUGCAAUCGGGUGCCGAAAUGCACCCGUUUUGCAUCAUUUUUCGUUCCGGAACCGAAUGCUAAAAAACACUCCCAAACAUGUUCUAGGGUAUAAUUAUGAAGAUUGCAUGCGUUCGUUGCGAAAAAAUCCACCCGAGUUUCGCUACCCGGCAAUAUGCAUUCGGGUACCGAAAUGCACCCGUAUUGCAUCAUUUUUCGUUCCGGAACCGAAUGCUCAAAAACACUACCAAACAUGUUCUAGGGUAUAAUUAUGAAGAUUGCAUGCGUUCGUUGCGAAAAAAUCUAAUCGAGUUUCGCUACACGGAAAAAGUGCAUUCGGGUGCCGAAAUGCACCCGUUUUGCAUCAUUUUUCGUUCCGGAACCGAAUGCUCAAAAACACUCCCAAACAUGUUCUAGGGUAUAAUUAUGAAGAUUGCAUGCGUUCGUUGCGAAAAAAUCCACCCGAGUUUCGCUACACGGAAAAAGUGCAUUCGGGUGCCGAAAUGCACCCGUUUUGCAUCAUUUUUCGUUCCGGAACCGAAUGCUCAAAAACACUCCCAAACAUGUUUUAGGGUAUAAUUAGGAAGAUUGCAUGCGUUCGUUGCGAAAAAAUCCACUCGAGUUUCGCUACCCGGCAAUAUGCAUUCGGGUGCCGAAAUGCACCCGUUUUGCAUCAUUUUUCAUUCCGGAACCGAAUGCUCAAAAACACUCCCAAACAUGUUCUAGGGUAUAAUUAUGAAGAUUGCAUGCGUUCGUUGCGAAAAAAUCCACCCGAGUUUCGCUACCCGGCAAUAUGCAUUCGGGUACCGAAAUGCACCCGUUUUGCAUCAUUUUUCGUUCCGGAACCGAAUGCUAAAAAACACUCCCAAACAUGUUCUAGGGUAUAAUUAUGAAGAUUGCAUGCGUUCGUUGCGAAAAAAUCCACCCGAGUUUCGCUACCCGGCAAUAUGCAUUCGGGUGCCGAAAUGCACCCGUUUUGCAUCAUUUUUCGUUCCGGAACCGAAUACUCAAAAACAAACUCCCAAACAUGUUCUAGUGUAUAGUUAGGAAGAUUGGAUGCGUUCGUUGCGAGAAAAUCCACCCGAGUUUCGCUACCCGGAAAUAGUGCAUUCGGGUGCCGAAAUGCACCCAUUUUGCAUCAUUUUUCGUUCCGGAACCGAAUGCUCAAAAACACUCCCAAACAUGUUCUAGGGUAUAAUUAGGAAUAUUGCAUGCGUUCGUUGCGAAAAAAUCCACCCGAGUUUCGCUACCUGGCAAUAUGCAUUCGGGUGCCGAAAUGCACCCGUUUUGCAUCAUUUUUCGUUCCGGAACCGAAUGCUCAAAAACACUCCCAAACAUGUUUUAGGGUAUAAUUAGGAAGAUUGCAUGCGUUCGUUGCGAAAAAAUCCACUCGAGUUUCGCUACCCGGCAAUAUGCAAUCGGGUGCCGAAAUGCACCCGUUUUGCAUCAUUUUUCGUUCCGGAACCGAAUGCUCAAAAACACUCCCAAACAUGUUCUAGGGUAUAAUUAGGAAGAUUGCAUGCGUUCGUUGCGAAAAAAUCCACCCGAGUUUCGCUACCCGGCAAUAUGCAAUCGGGUGCCGAAAUGCACCCGUUUUGCAUCAUUUUUCGUUCCGGAACCGAAUGCUAAAAAACACUCCCAAACAUGUUCUAGGGUAUAAUUAUGAAGAUUGCAUGCGUUCGUUGCGAAAAAAUCCACCCGAGUUUCGCUACCCGGCAAUAUGCAUUCGGGUACCGAAAUGCACCCGUAUUGCAUCAUUUUUCGUUCCGGAACCGAAUGCUCAAAAACACUACCAAACAUGUUCUAGGGUAUAAUUAUGAAGAUUGCAUGCGUUCGUUGCGAAAAAAUCUAAUCGAGUUUCGCUACACGGAAAAAGUGCAUUCGGGUGCCGAAAUGCACCCGUUUUGCAUCAUUUUUCGUUCCGGAACCGAAUGCUCAAAAACACUCCCAAACAUGUUCUAGGGUAUAAUUAUGAAGAUUGCAUGCGUUCGUUGCGAAAAAAUCCACCCGAGUUUCGCUACACGGAAAAAGUGCAUUCGGGUGCCGAAAUGCACCCGUUUUGCAUCAUUUUUCGUUCCGGAACCGAAUGCUCAAAAACACUCCCAAACAUGUUUUAGGGUAUAAUUAGGAAGAUUGCAUGCGUUCGUUGCGAAAAAAUCCACUCGAGUUUCGCUACCCGGCAAUAUGCAUUCGGGUGCCGAAAUGCACCCGUUUUGCAUCAUUUUUCAUUCCGGAACCGAAUGCUCAAAAACACUCCCAAACAUGUUCUAGGGUAUAAUUAUGAAGAUUGCAUGCGUUCGUUGCGAAAAAAUCCACCCGAGUUUCGCUACCCGGCAAUAUGCAUUCGGGUACCGAAAUGCACCCGUUUUGCAUCAUUUUUCGUUCCGGAACCGAAUGCUAAAAAACACUCCCAAACAUGUUCUAGGGUAUAAUUAUGAAGAUUGCAUGCGUUCGUUGCGAAAAAAUCCACCCGAGUUUCGCUACCCGGCAAUAUGCAUUCGGGUGCCGAAAUGCACCCGUUUUGCAUCAUUUUUCGUUCCGGAACCGAAUACUCAAAAACAAACUCCCAAACAUGUUCUAGUGUAUAGUUAGGAAGAUUGGAUGCGUUCGUUGCGAGAAAAUCCACCCGAGUUUCGCUACCCGGAAAUAGUGCAUUCGGGUGCCGAAAUGCACCCAUUUUGCAUCAUUUUUCGUUCCGGAACCGAAUGCUCAAAAACACUCCCAAACAUGUUCUAGGGUAUAAUUAGGAAUAUUGCAUGCGUUCGUUGCGAAAAAAUCCACCCGAGUUUCGCUACCCGGCAAUAUGCAUUCGGGUGCCGAAAUGCACCCGUUUUGCAUCAUUUUUCGUUCCGGAACCGAAUGCUCAAAAACACUCCCAAACAUGUUCUAGGGUAUAAUUAGGAAGAUUGCAUGCGUUCGUUGCGAAAAUAUCCACCCGAGUUUCGCUACCCGGCAAUAUGCAUUCGGGUGCCGAAAUGUACCCGUUUUGCAUCAUUUUUCGUUCCGGAACCGAAUGCUCAA
This 3197-nucleotide long non-coding RNA is filed under the name Setaria viridis. Its description in RNAcentral is "long non-coding RNA (SVIR_LNC006925)". Lineage: Eukaryota; Viridiplantae; Streptophyta; Magnoliopsida; Poales; Poaceae. The record is from RNAcentral.